This 137-nucleotide small nucleolar RNA is filed under the name Pterocles gutturalis (yellow-throated sandgrouse). RNAcentral's name for it is "Small nucleolar RNA SNORA73 family". It matches the Rfam family "Small nucleolar RNA SNORA73 family", at positions 66 to 219 of the family's 219-position model. Rfam says of the family: U17 (SNORA73A and SNORA73B) also known as E1 belongs to the H/ACA class of small nucleolar RNAs (snoRNAs). Vertebrate U17 is intron-encoded and ranges in length from 200-230 nucleotides, longer than most snoRNAs. Lineage: Eukaryota; Metazoa; Chordata; Aves; Pterocliformes; Pteroclidae. The record is from Rfam by way of RNAcentral.
UCCGGGCCCGUGACGUACGGUCCCUUUCCACGCCGUUGGAGAACAAGCCGGGCCUCGAGUCUGCAGCCUGCAUAUUCCUACUGCUUCUCUGAGCCCUCGGGCCAUGACAGAGGAGACAAACCAUGCAGGAAACAGCU